This 1137-nucleotide long non-coding RNA is filed under the name Ornithorhynchus anatinus (platypus). Its description in RNAcentral is "lncRNA (ENSOANG00000050818.1)". The record is from RNAcentral. Lineage: Eukaryota; Metazoa; Chordata; Mammalia; Monotremata; Ornithorhynchidae.
AUGGGCUCCUGUGUGCCCAGCCCUGUCUUCGUAGUAACCAAAAUCAUAAUAAUGGCACUUAUUCAGGCCUUACUGUCUGCCCAACACCCUAUUAAUAGUAAAAAUAAUAAUAAUGGUUCCUGUAAAGGGCUUACUGUGUGUGCCCAGCACUGUAUUAAUGCUAGCAAAAAGGAUAAUAUAGUAAUAAUGGCACCUAUUAAGGGCUUACUGUGUGCCCAGCACUGUAUUAAUGCUAACAAAAAUGAUAAUUUAGUAAUAAUGGCACCUAUUAAGGGCUUACUGUGUGCCCAGCACUGUAUUAAUGCUAGCAAAAAGGAUAAUAUAGUAAUAAUGGCACCUAUUAAGGGCUUACUGUGUGCCCAGCACUGUAUUAAUGCUAGCAAAAAUGAUAAUAUAGUAAUAAUGGCACCUAUUAAGGGCUUACUGUGUGCCCGGCACUGUAUUAAUACUAACAAAAAUGAUAAUAUAGUAAUAAUGGCACCUAUUAAGGGCUUACUGUGUGCCCAGCACUGUAUUAAUGCUAACAAAAAUGAUAAUAUAGUAAUAAUGGCACCUAUUAAGGGCUUACUGUGUGCCCAGCACUGUAUUAAUGCUAACAAAAAUGAUAAUAUAGUAAUAAUGGCACCUAUUAAGGGUUUACUGUGUGCCCAGCACUGUAUUAAUGCUAGCAAAAAUGAUAAUAUAGUAAUAAUGGCACCUAUUAAGGGCUUACUGUGUGCCCAGCACUGUAUUAAUGCUAGCAAAAAUGAUAAUUUAGUAAUAAUGGCACCUAUUAAGGGCUUACUGUGUGCCCAGCACUGUAUUAAUACUAGCAAAAAUGAUAAUAUAGUAAUAAUGGCACCUAUUAAGGGCUUACUGUGUGCCCAGCACUGUAUUAAUGCUAGCAAAAAUGAUAAUUUAGUAUUAAUGGCACCUAUUAAGGGCUUACUGUGUGCCCGGCACUGUAUUAAUACUAGCAAAAAUGAUAAUUUAGUAAUAAUGGCACCUAUUAAGGGCUUACUGUGUGCCCAGCACUGUAUUAAUGCUAGCAAAAAGGAUAAUAUAGUAAUAAUGGCACCUAUUAAGGGCUUACUGUGUGCCCAGCACUGUAUUAAUACUAACAAAAAUGAUAAUUUAGUAAUAAUGGCACCUAUUUAG